Molecule: long non-coding RNA, 869 nt
Filed under: Rattus norvegicus (Norway rat)
Lineage: Eukaryota; Metazoa; Chordata; Mammalia; Rodentia; Muridae
Description: long non-coding RNA NONRATT003853
Source: RNAcentral
GAAAAGUGUCGGGAGGUCGGGAGCGCGCCCGUGAUUCCGGAGCAGUGGCGGCGUCGCCGGAGUCGGGAGCGAGCAGGCCUGCGAGCUGCUAGGGUGCUAGAGAAGCCGGGGGCUCGGUAAGCGGCUCGGGCCCGGCUGGGUCCUUGAACCUGGCCAACCUUUGCGGGUCCGCCCUACUAGGCCUGGACCCAGAGGCGGCCCUGGGGGCGGGGCCUAAGUGCCGCGGAGACACGGGUGACAGGGCAGAGGGAGGGCUGCGGUUGCUGGGGUUGCUUGCGGCGGGAGGGUCGGGCCUGGGAACUCAGAGUGCUCCUCGCUGCCUUCGAACGCCUGCUACCGGCUUAGUCCUGCCCCUUAGAGGUCCUGCUGGGGCCUCGGGGCGGGCGAGGCGCUGACCUUUGACCCCAGCGCGGGGCUGACCCUGAGCCGGUCAGCUUUUCGAGGAGAGCUGCCCUCUGUGAAGUGUUCAGAUACCCUGGAAGGGCCGGGUCCUGCGCUCUUCAGUCUUUAGCACCCACUUUUUGCAGAGUUAAUAAAACCACUGUUCUUUAAUGGGAUGAGUGGGUGCAAGUCGGGAAACCUGCCCCUUCCCUGGUAUGGUGAAGAAAGACAGUCACUGGGGAAGUUAAGUUGUCCCUGGCGAAUGGAACAGUGGAUACUUCAGCCAUGUCCUAAUAAAAUGUUGCGGGACUAUCCGCACCUCCCCAACACUUCUUUCUAGAAAAAGUUUUAAACUUAAGUUUUUGCAUUUUGCUUGCAAAAUAGGGCAAGCAUGGUGUUUAAACGUGGUUAGUGUUAGAGCCAUCAUGUAUAACCCUAUUUCAGUUCAACCCCUCGCCAGUUCAGAACUAGCUAUGUAGAUCAGGCUA